RNAcentral lists this ribosomal RNA (428 nucleotides) under uncultured bacterium. RNAcentral's name for it is "partial 16S ribosomal RNA". It matches the Rfam family "Bacterial small subunit ribosomal RNA", at positions 354 to 796 of the family's 1533-position model. The record is from RNAcentral.
GUGGGGAAUAUUGGGCAAUGGGCGGAAGCCUGACCCAGCGACGCCGCGUGGGGGAAGAAGUCUUUCGGGAUGUAAACCCUUGUUGUACGGGACGAAGGAAGUGACGGUACCGUACGAGGAAGCCCCGGCAAACUACGUGCCAGCAGCCGCGGUAAUACGUAGGGGGCGAGCGUUGUCCGGAAUCACUGGGCGUAAAGCGCACGUAGGCGGGCUGUCAAGUCGGCCGUGAAAGGCACGGGCUCAACCUGUGCAUGUCGGUCGAUACUGGCGGUCUGGAGUAUGGGAGAGGGAACUGGAAUUCCCGGUGUAGCGGUGAAAUGCGUAGAUAUAUGGAAGAACACCAGUGGCGAAGGCGGCUACCUGGUCUGCAACUGACGCUGAGACUCGAAAGCAUGGGUAGCGAACAGGAUUAGAUACCCUGGUAGUCC